Molecule: long non-coding RNA, 1967 nt
Organism: Panicum hallii
Lineage: Eukaryota; Viridiplantae; Streptophyta; Magnoliopsida; Poales; Poaceae
Exons: 2
Source: RefSeq, a predicted model, not a curated record
UCUCGACUCGCGCGGCAACUGGAGGCGACCGCGCGGCGUGGAGCUGCAUGAUCCGUGCCUUAUCGUCUCCGGUCGCCGCAUGAUCCGUUCCGCCUGCGCGGCGUGGAGCUGGCUCAGCAGCCCGCUGAUCGUCUCGGCUUCCCGGCGGAGCUAGCUGCAGCAUUAUUUCAGAGGUCGCUCCCGGGGGCGGUGGUGACAGAACCAGGCCUGGCCGAGCCCUAGCGGCUGCAAAACUCUACAAACUAGCACGCGUCGGGUCGCCGCCGCCGCCGCCGUCGAUCUUCGCCCACCAAGGGAGCAGGCGAUCCGCUCCCCCCGCGCCGGCUGACCCGCGCGCACGGCCUCUGGCGUCGGAGCUUGACGAGGAGGACGCCUGCUGAGCUGCGUUGAAUCUGGACCGCAUAAGUCGGAUCGGACGGAUCCGUAGGUCCCAGGGGGUGGACGGUAUUUCGCCUCCCGUCGCAUGGAACGCCGCGGCUCGUCCGAGCACCGCCGCGCUCCGGCCGUCCCAUGGCGGUCCUUCCUGGCUUUGCGGCCGCUCCCCCAGUGCCUACUCCUGCUUCAUGCCGUGUCUUGCCGGAGUGGGUCGCCGUGUUCCGGCCGGCCGUACCUUGUGUCCGUCUCCGACCAAGCCUCUUCCUUUGGGUCGUGCGGCUGGUGGCAGCCGGCAAACAAGCUGAACACCGCUGCCGAUCAUGGCGCGCACCCAAGCUCAGUCGAGGGGGUUCUUAAUCUCUACCAAUUCCUCGGCAUCGCGGAGGGCCAGAGUGCUGCUGCUUCUGACAGAAUUGGCGCGGAGCAACAGAAAACAAUUCGAAACACCACUGGGCCAGGGUUGAAUCGGCGAGUGGCGACGACAGCAACGCUCUGGAAUUGAGAAUCGAUUGGAGCAGGCAAGCAGACAAUCAGGUAUGUGAGAGGUGAGCCUUUCACUUUUGGGCUUUGGCCUGCUGAUGGCCGGGGCGUUUGGCCACAUCAAGGCAAGAUGUGCGUCUCCCGUCUUCGUGCUCGAGACGUCUUCGUCAGUUCAUCUCGCAGGGCGGAGCAGCAGCAGCAUCGGGCAGAUGAAGAACGGAGGGGGCGGCGAGGGCAGGGGUCGCCGAGGAAGAAGUCGUGGGGUCAGGGGCGAGUACGCCGGUAGCUGGGGCGGCCGCCCCACCCCGCCUACAGUGGGGCUGAGAGGGGCUAAUUUGAUAAAUAUUAUUCAAAAUAGAGGGUUUUAUAUAAUCGCGAUCCAAAUAAGGGGUUUAUUGUAAAUAUUUGGAUCUCUAUUAUUAAUCGUGAUCUAUUUUAGGGGCCUUUAUGUAAACAUGUAGGUGUAACUCGAAAAACCUUUCCCCCUUCCUCCCGCCGCCGGCGGCCGGCGCUGAUGGCGAACCAGCGAGGCCUCCAGCCUCCCCUUGCUCCAGAUGGAGAAGACCUUUAGCUCCUCGUAUCCUCAAGGUCUUCACAGCUUCCCCGGAUUCGGCGGCAGGCACCAGAGACGGGAGCCUACACUGGACGGACGCCGCCAAGGCCGCCACCGCGUAGUGCCGGAGACGAGCGUCGUCACCGGCGUAUGCAUCAUCCGGCAGCUUGGAUCCCUGACUACUCCGCGCUCUACGAUUGCUCCUGCCUGCGGUAACUGCGAGUCACAGCUGCAGCGUUUGGCGUCAUGGAGUCAACAUACCUGCACUGAAGCUUCAAAUUGUCGGACGGAGUUUGAAAAUUUUUGAGGAAAUGAAGAAGAGGGUCUUCUGAAGAUUCUCAAGGUAAUGGAGUAACACCUACGAAAGGAUCUGCAAAGAUCUUCUCAACAGAAGCUCCAUGGGGCAAUCCCGCAAGAUUGCUGCUUUGCUGAAGCUUGAUCGUGCUAGUUUGUUUCUACAUCCCAGGCUUUGUUUCAGUUAGGUUCACCAGUGGUCUGUUACCAGAAAAAAGUGUUCUAAUGUAAUUGGACCAAUGGUUAUCUAAUUUGUGAUCAGAAA